UUGCUAGAAGAUGACGAGCGGCGGACGGGUGAGUAAUGCUUGGGAACAUGCCUUGAGGUGGGGGACAACCAUUGGAAACGAUGGCUAAUACCGCAUAAUGUCUACGGACCAAAGGGGGCUUCGGCUCUCGCCUUUAGAUUGGCCCAAGUGGGAUUAGCUAGUUGGUGAGGUAAAGGCUCACCAAGGCGACGAUCCCUAGCUGGUUUGAGAGGAUGAUCAGCCACACUGGAACUGAGACACGGUCCAGACUCCUACGGGAGGCAGCAGUGGGGAAUAUUGCACAAUGGGCGCAAGCCUGAUGCAGCCAUGCCGCGUGUGUGAAGAAGGCCUUCGGGUUGUAAAGCACUUUCAGUCAGGAGGAAAGGUUAGUAGUUAAUACCUGCUAGCUGUGACGUUACUGACAGAAGAAGCACCGGCUAACUCCGUGCCAGCAGCCGCGGUAAUACGGAGGGUGCGAGCGUUAAUCGGAAUUACUGGGCGUAAAGCGUACGCAGGCGGUUUGUUAAGCGAGAUGUGAAAGCCCCGGGCUUAACCUGGGAACUGCAUUUCGAACU
RNAcentral lists this ribosomal RNA (554 nucleotides) under Pseudoalteromonas maricaloris. RNAcentral describes it as "bacterial SSU rRNA". It matches the Rfam family "Bacterial small subunit ribosomal RNA", at positions 77 to 634 of the family's 1533-position model. Lineage: Bacteria; Pseudomonadati; Pseudomonadota; Gammaproteobacteria; Alteromonadales; Pseudoalteromonadaceae. The record is from RNAcentral.